AGAAUCAACGCUGGCGGCGUGCCUAACACAUGCAAGUCGAACGAGAAAGUGGAGCAAUCCAUGAGUAAAGUGGCGCACGGGUGAGUAACACGUGACUAACCUACCCUUGAGUGGGGAAUAACUUCGGGAAACCGAGGCUAAUACCGCAUAACACCUACGGGUCAAAGGAGCAAUUCGCUUAAGGAGGGGGUCGCGGCAGAUUAGUUAGUUGGCGGGGUAAUGGCCCACCAAGACGGUGAUCUGUAUCCGGCCUGAGAGGGCGCACGGACACACUGGAACUGAAACACGGUCCAGACUCCUACGGGAGGCAGCAGUGGGGAAUUUGCGCAAUGGGGGAAACCCUGACGCAGCAACGCCGCGUGGAGGAUGAAGUCCCUUGGGACGUAAACUCCUUUCGAUCGGGACGAUUAUGACGGUACCGGAAGAAGAAGCCCGGCUAACUCGCGCCAGCAGCCGC
This 457-nucleotide ribosomal RNA is filed under the name uncultured bacterium. Its description in RNAcentral is "SSU rRNA". It matches the Rfam family "Bacterial small subunit ribosomal RNA", at positions 26 to 518 of the family's 1533-position model. The record is from RNAcentral.